UUAAGUUCAGCGGGUAUCCCUACCUGAUCCGAGGUCAACCGAGAAAAAUUUGGGGUUGCUGGCCAGCCUCUCCCAGGACCCUAUAGCGAGAAAAUUACUACGCGUAGAGCCUAAGAGCACCGCCACUAGUUUUAAGGCCCGCCCGACGGCGAAGCCCAACACCUAGCCAGGCUAGAUUGGUAUAAAUGACGCUCGAACAG
RNAcentral lists this unclassified non-coding RNA (200 nucleotides) under Hyaloscyphaceae sp. RNAcentral describes it as "partial internal transcribed spacer 2". Lineage: Eukaryota; Fungi; Ascomycota; Leotiomycetes; Helotiales; Hyaloscyphaceae. The record is from RNAcentral.